This 479-nucleotide ribosomal RNA is filed under the name uncultured Comamonas sp. RNAcentral's name for it is "bacterial SSU rRNA". It matches the Rfam family "Bacterial small subunit ribosomal RNA", at positions 897 to 1382 of the family's 1533-position model. Lineage: Bacteria; Pseudomonadati; Pseudomonadota; Betaproteobacteria; Burkholderiales; Comamonadaceae. The record is from RNAcentral.
AAACUUAAAUGAAUUGACGGGACCCGCACAAGCGGUGGAUGAUGUGGUUUAAUUCGAUGCAACGCGAAAACCUUACCCACCUUUGACAUGUACGGAAUCCUUUAGAGAUAGAGGAGUGCUCGAAAGAGAGCCGUAACACAGGUGCUGCAUGGCUGUCGUCAGCUCGUGUCGUGAGAUGUUGGGUUAAGUCCCGCAACGAGCGCAACCCUUGUCAUUAGUUGCUACGAAAGGGCACUCUAAUGAGACUGCCGGUGACAAACCGGAGGAAGGUGGGGAUGACGUCAAGUCCUCAUGGCCCUUAUAGGUGGGGCUACACACGUCAUGCAAUGGCUGGUACAAAGGGUUGCCAACCCGCGAGGGGGAGCCAAUCCCAUAAAGCCAGUCGUAGUCCGGAUCGCAGUCUGCAACUCGACUGCGUGAAGUCGGAAUCGCUAGUAAUCGUGGAUCAGCAUGUCACGGUGAAUACGUUCCCGGGUCUU